UUCGUUUCUCUCUUGGUGUCGCCUCUCUUGGUUUCGUUUAUCUCCCGCUCUUAUCGUAGUAGAGUCUCAGAUCGGUGUAGCUCCAUCGUUGUUGAUCAGUUGCAGCGACCCACGCCAUCCUUAGCUACUACCCACAUCGUCGAACCUGGCGGAUGAUGCUCACCGCUACAAGUUCAAGACAUGUGGAAGAACUUAAGGAGGUCACAAGAUUUGAGAGAAGUUGAAUCACUGUCUAUUUGUGCACUUUGAGUGUCAUUCUUGAUGCUAUGUACUGGUCCUUGUGUUAAUUUAGGAUACUGUUACUUUCAUGUAUUUUUGUACUUUGGGUGUCAUUCUUGAUGCUAUGUACAAGGAACUUAUGUUAAUUUGGGAUAUUGUUACUUUGAUGUAAUUGUACACUUUGGGUGUCAUUCUUGAUGCUAUGUACAAGGAGCAAUGUGUGGAUUGUUGUGUAAUCUAAGUUAGAUAUAAUUUGAAUGCCCCCUGAUUUAUUUCCAA
Molecule: long non-coding RNA, 498 nt
Organism: Juglans microcarpa x Juglans regia
Lineage: Eukaryota; Viridiplantae; Streptophyta; Magnoliopsida; Fagales; Juglandaceae
Exons: 2
Source: RefSeq, a predicted model, not a curated record